Molecule: non-coding RNA, 73 nt
Organism: Capra hircus (goat)
Lineage: Eukaryota; Metazoa; Chordata; Mammalia; Artiodactyla; Bovidae
Source: the annotation of a RefSeq genome assembly
GUUUCCAUGGUGUAGUGGUUAUCACGUUUGCCUAACAUGUGAAAAGUCCCCAGUUCAAAACUGGGCGGAAACA